This 75-nucleotide transfer RNA is filed under the name SAR202 cluster bacterium. RNAcentral's name for it is "tRNA-Asn". It matches the Rfam family "tRNA". Rfam says of the family: Transfer RNA (tRNA) molecules are approximately 80 nucleotides in length. Their secondary structure includes four short double-helical elements and three loops (D, anti-codon, and T loops). Lineage: Bacteria; Bacillati; Chloroflexota; Dehalococcoidia. The record is from RNAcentral.
UCCGGUGUAGCUCAGUGGUAGAGCGGUCGGCUGUUAACCGAUUGGUCGUAGGUUCGAAUCCUACCACCGGAGCCA